Molecule: ribosomal RNA, 790 nt
Filed under: uncultured bacterium
Lineage: Bacteria
Description: bacterial SSU rRNA
Rfam family: Bacterial small subunit ribosomal RNA
Source: RNAcentral
AGAGUUUGAUCCUGGCUCAGGAACGCUAGCGGCAGGCUUAAUACAUGCAAGUCGAGGGGCAGCACAGGUAGCAAUACUGGGUGGCGACCGGCAAACGGGUGCGGAACACGUACGCAACCUUCCUUUAAGCGGAGAAUAGCCCAGGGAAACUUGGAUUAAUACUCCAUAAGAUUAUGGUGUGGCAUCACACAGUAAUUAAAGCUCCGGCACUUAAAGAUGGGCGUGCGGCUGAUUAGGUAGUUGGCGGGGUAACGGCCCACCAAGCCAACGAUCAGUAACUGGUGUGAGAGCACGACCAGUCACACGGGCACUGAGACACGGGCCCGACUCCUACGGGAGGCAGCAGUAAGGAAUAUUGGUCAAUGGACGCAAGUCUGAACCAGCCAUGCCGCGUGGAGGAUGAAGGCCCUCUGGGUUGUAAACUUCUUUUAUUUGGGAAGAAACCCAUCUUUUCUAAGGUGGUUGACGGUACCAGAUGAAUAAGCACCGGCUAACUCCGUGCCAGCAGCCGCGGUAAUACGGAGGGUGCAAGCGUUAUCCGGAUUCACUGGGUUUAAAGGGUGCGUAGGUGGGCAGGUAAGUCAGUGGUGAAAUCUCCGGGCUUAACCCGGAAACUGCCGUUGAUACUAUCUGUCUUGAAUGUAGUGGAGGUGAGCGGAAUAUGUCAUGUAGCGGUGAAAUGCUUAGAUAUGACAUAGAACACCCAUUGCGAAGGCAGCUCGCUACACUAUUAUUGACACUGAGGCACGAAAGCGUGGGGAUCAAACAGGAUUAGAUACCCUAGUAGUCC